This is an RNA transcript of Daphnia magna, 368 nucleotides long. RefSeq lists it as uncharacterized. The transcript is spliced from 2 exons. The record is from RefSeq and is a predicted model, not a curated record. NCBI's taxonomy places the organism in Eukaryota, Metazoa, Arthropoda, Branchiopoda, Diplostraca, Daphniidae.
UUCUGAUCAAAGCUGUAAUGCAAGUUCUGUAAUACACUAUAUGCCGUGUAAAAUCAAUCACGACGGUGCAGCAAACAUUACAGGAUUCUUUUCACCGUACGUUGAAAACAAGGACACAGAUAUUAUUAACAAAGCUGAUUCAGAAGCUUCAUUCCGUGGUUAUCCUUUGCAAGGCAAGAAAAUAAAAAUUCCAAAUGAUUUUAAAGGAAUUGUUGUUAACGAAACGAAGAAGCCUUUGACUUACAUGGAGCCAAGAAAUCUUGAUUUAAAAAAGAAUUUCUGUGAAAUAACCUAUUGGAACUGGGAUUGCUUUCCAAACAAAAAUGAUUUGAUUCAUCAGUCUGUGGAUUGGCUGAUAUUAUCAAAAA